RNAcentral lists this long non-coding RNA (1220 nucleotides) under Durio zibethinus. RNAcentral's name for it is "long non-coding RNA (DZIB_LNC001127)". Lineage: Eukaryota; Viridiplantae; Streptophyta; Magnoliopsida; Malvales; Malvaceae. The record is from RNAcentral.
CUUGAGUUUAAGUUUGAUUUUAAUUUUUAGUUUUAAUUUUAAUUUUAAUUUUAAUUCAAAAAAUAAGAGAAGAUUUUUGGAAACGUGCUUGAAAUCUUAGAAGAUUGGGGAAGCAUCUUGGCAUUCAAUUCAGAAAUCACAUUUUGGUAAAAAGGAAACUAAAUCACAGGGAAAAGAUGGUACGAAUCAAAUCAGCUUUGUCAUUCAAUAGGAAUCCUUGAAAUUCCUGCAAAAGAAUGAUAUAUAUUAAAUCAAUCGGUCAAAGAGACAAAGAAAUCAUACAAAAAACAACCAUAAGGAAUUCAAACCAGAAACAUGGAUCAACAGAAAGGAAGCAAUACAAACUAAUCAAUUUCUAGAAGAAGCAACCGAGAAAAUUUCCAAAGCAAUCAACAACAGAAAGUCCAAUUUUCCCAUACAGCAGCAUUCACUCAAUAGCAGCUUCAACCGUGCAAAAUCAAAAGGAACAAGGCGUAUUCAAGCAAUUUUUCACACCAUUUGGUCACACCACCUCUAUCCAUACACUUCUCCAAAAUCAAAAUCCCUAGCAGUUAGCCUCAACACAGACAAUCAAUUCACCAAAGCCAAAACCCAGACAAACUCCUACCCAAAACCUAACCCAUUCACAAAUUUAGCAGCAAAUUCAAACUGUAAAAAUAAUCCACAAUUUACCCACAAUCAAUAGACACAUAAAUAGUAGAAAGUAUAAACACAAACUUCUUUCAAGUUUCAAGUUUAGUCUGCUUUAAAUGGUGGUAGAAUCUGAUCCAAACAAAAAAAGAGGAAAGUUAAAAAAAACAUUGGCAGAAAACGAAAAGAGUUUAGAGGAUUUUUGGUGGCUCGACUACAGUGGCAACAAUCUUCAAUUAGUUUCUGGGCUAUUGAUUGAAAUCUAAGGAGAAGAGAAAGUCAAGGGGAUAGACGAAAGAGAAGGAAUCGAGGCAUGCUUUUUGGGUUUCUGAAGAAGACCGAUGGUAGUUGUUAGUGACAAAAGGCAGCGAAUGAGCUUCGUGGCUUGUAAUAGGCGGAGGCCAUGAUGGCUUCAAUUGGGAUCUGUUGGGUUGUUUCCCUGGUUAUUGGAGAAGGAAGAAUAAAGAGAUGGAUGAAUUAUGCUGUUUUAAGUGUUUGAAGCCUAAUCCAUAGGCUACCAUUUUGGGAAGUUAAGGGAACCAGGUUUGACCCACUUCUGGUGACCGGGUUUGGAUCCAGUCCAACCAAAG